CUGUAAACAGCAAUAAUGUUAAGCAAAAUAAGACCUACAAAUAAGUCAACAUGACCAAAAUUGUCAGUUUACCCCUUAAGGAGUUAUUGCCCUUUAUAGUCAUUUUUUUACAAUUUUCAUAAAUUUUUGUAAAUUUUUAGAAUAUAUUUUCCACUGUAAUUACUGGGCCAAGUUCAUUAUAGAUAGAGAUAAUUGUAGCAAGAAGAAUGUCCAGUAAAGUAAGAUCUACAAACACAUCAUGAUCACCAAAACACAAUUUUGUCAUGAAUUUAUCUGUGUCCAUUGUUUAAUAUUCACAUAGACCAAGGUGAGCGAC
RNAcentral lists this long non-coding RNA (316 nucleotides) under Mytilus galloprovincialis (Mediterranean mussel). Lineage: Eukaryota; Metazoa; Mollusca; Bivalvia; Mytilida; Mytilidae. The record is from RNAcentral.